GGAUUCCCCGWGWAGCGGCGAGCGAAACGGGAAGAGCCCAGCGCUGAAUCCUGCGGCCCCGGCGGUCCGCCGGGAAAUGUAGCGUUAGGGAGGAGAGKUAAUCAUAUUCGCGCGGUCAUUAGUCACGGCGGCCAGUCCAAGUCCAUCUUGAAGGGGGCCCCGCUUAUCCGUAGAGGGUGCCAGGCCCGUGGUGACGGUCGCCGGCCGCGACGGUCUCUCUCCCCAGAGUCGGGUUGCUUGAGAGUGCAGCCCUAAGCGGGUGGUAAACUCCAUCUAAGGCUAAAUACGACCGCGAGACCGAUAGCGAACAAGUACCGUGAGG
RNAcentral lists this ribosomal RNA (322 nucleotides) under Paduniella mahanawana. RNAcentral's name for it is "eukaryotic LSU rRNA". It matches the Rfam family "Eukaryotic large subunit ribosomal RNA", at positions 72 to 358 of the family's 3401-position model. Lineage: Eukaryota; Metazoa; Arthropoda; Insecta; Trichoptera; Psychomyiidae. The record is from RNAcentral.